Eurytemora carolleeae is the source of this 1273-nucleotide long non-coding RNA. RefSeq lists it as uncharacterized. NCBI's taxonomy places the organism in Eukaryota, Metazoa, Arthropoda, Copepoda, Calanoida, Temoridae. The record is from RefSeq and is a predicted model, not a curated record. The transcript has 3 exons.
UUUAGCCGGACAGAGGGAACAUAUAUAUGAAUGUCAAACAUAUAAACAUAUGAGGGAAUAUAAACAUAGGAGGGAAUAUAAGCAUAGGAGGGAAUAUAAAGAUAGGAGGGAAUAUAAACAUAAGAGGGAAUAUAAACAUAGGAGGGAAUAUAAACAUAUGAGGGAAUAUAAAUAUAGGAGGGAAUAUAAACAUAGGAGGGAAUAUAAACAUAGGAGGUAAUAUAAACAUAGGAGGGAAUAUAAACAUAGGAGGGAAUUAUAAACAUAAGAGAGAAUAUAAACAUAGGAGGGAAUAUAAACAUAGGAGGGAAUAUAAACACAGGAGGGAAUAUAAACAUAGGAGGGAAUAUAAACAUAGGAGGGAAUAUAAACAUUGGAGGGAAUAAUAAACAUAGGAGGGAAUACAAACGUAGCAGGGAAUAUAAACAUAGGAGGGAAUACAAACAUAGGAGGGAAUAUAAACAUAGGAGGGAAUAAUAAACAUAAGAGGGAAUAUAACAAUUUUACACUAUAAAGAGUAGAAUGUACUGAUACGCAAUAAACUGACUGAAGAAAUUAUGUUUAUAGGGAGCGCCCUUUUUCUUUUUUCUUUUCUCUGGUGAUCGCGGUAAUUACACUCAGACUGGCAAUUAUUAUUUGGCUGAAAAUCAAUGAAAAUUAACUUCAAAAUCCGUGAAUUUGCAUUUCCAGCUUUCCGACAUUUAGACAUUUAUAUAUAUAGUUCUUCUACAACUUUAAACUAUAGCCAGGACCAGGAGGUGAUGUGAUGCUGUUCAAUGAGAAUUCACCUUUUUGGGGACAGGAUCAUCUCCAGAAAGACCGAGCACCACUGGCCACCAUACUCUUCUGAUCUUUUUUCUCUCUUGGAUACAAACAAUGGCUCAUGUAAAGCGGUGUCAGUCCAAAUCCCUUUAAGAUCUGAUAAAUAUUGCGAAUGACUUUUCUCUGAAAAUGGACGAGGCAAUGUUGAGGAAGAUGGCACAUCGCAUCAGGAAGUUUUCUGGCUAUCCCAUGUAUAAUUUCUUGGAAUCUCUGUUAUUUUAUGUCUGUAAUUAGAAGUCUCAUCCUAUGUUGUAUCUGCAUAAACAUUCCGAAGUUUUUUGAAGCCCGAGUAACUUGGCACAAUGAUGAACACAAUCUACAGGUAAUUCUAGUAUUGGUUUAGGGCAGGCAUAAAGUAGACUCAGAGCUAGGUUUAAGGUAGACCCUGGGAUAAUUUUAAGGUAUACUCUGACCUAGGUUUAAGAUAUACCAUGAGCUAGGUUUAAGGUAG